GAUGAACGCUGGCGGCGUGCCUAAUACAUGCAAGUCGAGCGAACAGACGAGGAGCUUGCUCCUCUGACGUUAGCGGCGGACGGGUGAGUAACACGUGGAUAACCUACCUAUAAGACUGGGAUAACCUCGGGAAACCGGAGCUAAUACCGGAUAAUAUAUUGAACCGCAUGGUUCAAUAGUGAAAGACGGUUUUGCUGUCACUUAUAGAUUGAUCCGCGCCGCAUUAGCUAGUUGGUAAGGUAACGGCUUACCAAGGCAACGAUGCGUAGCCGACCUGAGAGGGUGAUCGGCCAAACUGGAACUGAGACACGGUCCAGACUCCUACGGGAGGCAGCAGUAGGGAAUCUUCCGCAAUGGGCGAAAGCCUGACGGAGCAACGCCGCGUGAGUGAUGAAGGUCUUCGGAUCGUAAAACUCUGUUAUUAGGGAAGAACAAAUGUGUAAGUAACUAUGCACGUCUUGACGGUACCUAAUCAGAAAGCCACGGCUAACUACGUG
This 497-nucleotide ribosomal RNA is filed under the name uncultured bacterium. Its description in RNAcentral is "partial 16S ribosomal RNA". It matches the Rfam family "Bacterial small subunit ribosomal RNA", at positions 28 to 507 of the family's 1533-position model. The record is from RNAcentral.